This 421-nucleotide ribosomal RNA is filed under the name uncultured bacterium. RNAcentral's name for it is "partial 16S ribosomal RNA". It matches the Rfam family "Bacterial small subunit ribosomal RNA", at positions 361 to 774 of the family's 1533-position model. The record is from RNAcentral.
AUUUUGGACAAUGGGUGAAACCCUGAUCCAGCCAUCCCGCGUGUAUGAUGAAUGCCCNNNGGUUGNACAGUACUUUGUGCAGGNAACNAAAGGUAUCCCCUAAUACGAGAUACUGCUUCCGUUAACUGCAGAAUAAGCACCGGCUAACUACGUGCCAGCAGCCGCGGUAACACGUAGGGUGCAAGCGUUAAUCGGAAUUACGGGGCGUAAAGCGUGUGUAGGCGGUUCGGAAAGAAAGAUGUGAAAUCCCAGGGCUCAACCUUGGAACUGCAUUUUUAACUGCCGAGCUAGAGUAUGUCAGAGGGGGGUAGAAUUCCACGUGUAGCAGUGAAAUGCGUAGAUAUGUGGAGGAAUACCGAUGGCGAAGGCAGCCCCCUGGGAUAAUACUGACGCUCAGACACGAAAGCGUGGGGAGCAAACA